AGCAGCCGCGGUAAUUCCAGCUCCAAUAGCGUAUAUUAAAGUUGCUGCAGUUAAAAAGCUCGUAGUUGAAUUUCGGGACCAAUAUGUCGGUCGUGCUUCGGUACGUACUGGCAUCGUUGGUUUCUCCCUUCUGACGAACCAUGAUGUCAUUUAUUUGGUGUCGUGGGGAAUCAGGACUGUUACUUUGAAAAAAUUAGAGUGUUUAAAGCAGGCUCACGCUUGAAUACAUUAGCAUGGAAUAAUGAAAUAGGACGUUUGAUUCUAUUUUGUUGGUUUCUAGGAUUGACGUAAUGAUUAAUAGGGAUAGUUGGGGGCAUUAGUAUUCAAUUGUCAGAGGUGAAAUUCUUGGAUUUAUUGAAGACUAACUACUGCGAAAGCAUUUGCCAAGGAUGUUUUCAUUAAUCAAGAACGAAAGUUAGGGGAUCGAAGACGAUCAGAUACCGUCGUAGUCUUAACCAUAAACUAUGCCGACUAGGGAUCGGAUGAUGUUAAUUUUUAAUGACUCAUUCGGCGCCUUAAC
This 520-nucleotide ribosomal RNA is filed under the name uncultured Glomus. RNAcentral describes it as "SSU rRNA". It matches the Rfam family "Eukaryotic small subunit ribosomal RNA", at positions 569 to 1092 of the family's 1831-position model. Lineage: Eukaryota; Fungi; Glomeromycota; Glomeromycetes; Glomerales; Glomeraceae. The record is from RNAcentral.